Molecule: transfer RNA, 70 nt
Filed under: Phrynosoma platyrhinos (Desert horned lizard)
Lineage: Eukaryota; Metazoa; Chordata; Lepidosauria; Squamata; Phrynosomatidae
Description: tRNA-OTHER
Source: RNAcentral
GCCAACAUGGCAUAGUGGUUUGAGCAUUGGACUAUGACUGUGGAGACCAGGGUUCAAUUCCUGCUUGGCA